AUAUCAAAUUCAAAGUUACAGAUUUGUAACAAACAUUUCUAUUAACCUAAGAGUUACAUCCUGACACUUACCUGACCGCCAUUAAAACAAAACCAAAAAAUCCAAGAUAUAACUGGAUUUCGCAUCGAUAAGAAAAACUGAAAGAUAACAUCGAAGAGCAUCUCAAAGAAUUGUGAGUUCAUUUGGUUUUUAGAUCAUUCGACAAUAAUAUUAUUACGAAUGCCGAUGCAAGGCUUAUAUCAGACUAGCGUUAUUAAACAUUGCUAAAACUCUCCUUACACAUGUAUACAUCCACGCAUUAGUUAUUUUCAUAACAUUUUAUGAGAAUAUUUAUUUCGUUUCUUUUCCCCCCUUUUUCGGCGCGCAUUCGUCGUAUAGAAUGAGAAAUAUUUUUUCAAAAGAAGAAACAAUCUUUUUAAUCGAAAAAAAAAAUGAAUAGCGAACAUUUUAGAGUAUUAUUUCUAUCAAAUGCAUAUUUUAUCUAAAGUUUCGUGCGAAUAUAAUAUAUAAAUAUAAAAUACACGCGAUGUUACGCCAUAUAUUUACUAAACUCGAAUGUAGUUUCAUUAAAAAUGAUGAUGCAAAAUUAUGGCUAAUAUAAUGUAACUAAUAUGAUAUAAUUAUUGCACAAUAUUAGCCAUUGUAUACGUAAAAAUAUUGACUGACUUUUAGUGCCGUUCAUAAAUAUGUAUAAACGUAUUCGGCGUAUAAAUUAUAGUUUAAAAAAAGAAAUAAAAUGUAUGUUGCAAUUAUGAAAAAAAAAAAGAAAAAAUAUGGAAAUAUAAAUCUGAAUCAGAGCGUGCAUUACAUGUAACAUUAUAGUGUCACAAACGUACAUGCUAAUAUGUGAAAACUGCAGAUUCAUAAUCAUUAUAAAACUAGAUGUACAGUACUUUUUAAUCUUGAUUUAACGCAAAUAUACAUAUAAUACUUUGUAUAUUGAAUGAUUCAGGGUAACGCUCUAGUCAUUUAUACAAUAAAAGUUAUUUAUAGAUUCAUGACGAAUUAAUAGACACGCACAUACAAUAUGAACUAUAAAUAACAAUUUCUGAAGCAUCUAGUAACUAGUCAAUCUGUUUCGAAAUUAUUGCUUAUAAUGUCGCCUUCUAUCUAUUUUUACUUAUCACUUAAUCCUCCGUCGUUAUUACUACAGUUUUAAUAUCAUUUGUUGCUACAUUUUUAUAUCAUAAUUUUUGGUUUUACCAAGUAGAAAAUGAAAUGCUGAAUGAAAUGGCUAGAGUGUGAACAUUUUUUUCUAAACGAAUAUAUAAUAGAAUGAAAAAAUGUGCCACAUUAAAAUAUACACAUAAUAAAAAUAAUGUAUGAUUUUAUGACCAGCAUUAAAACAAAGAAAAAGUUUAAAUAUAGUAAAGCACCGAUGCUUAAUUGCUCUACAGAAAAAGAAUUAAAAAAGAUGUUGGAAGAUUAUAAUCCUGUACGUUUAUUAUACAUACAUAUAAAAGCACACGGUGUGUUUAGAAUUAAUCGUUAAUAUGUAUAUAUGAUGAAUUUUGUUGUUUGAGAUGUUUUUUGUGGUGUUCGUACGAUAAUGGAAAAACUAAGUUUGAAAAUAUAUCUACGCUAUAUGUACACUAUACAUAGUUAUUUCAAUAAGAAAAUUUAUUGCGCUUUCCUAUAAUACACAUCGGAAGGAAUUGCUUAUAAAAUAACAUUUAGCUCGAUAAAAAUUGCUUCAUAAUAAACCGCCAGUAUGAUGGAAACGAUUUUACAUAUAUUGUACAUUGCAAAAGUAGUCAGAGCAAUGGUUGACAGAUAUGAGAAACGGAUUUAUGACAAUUAUUUAAUGCUAUUGAAAAUUCAUCUAAUCGCAUGAUUAUACCACUAAUAAUGAAUUAUAUGGAAGAUUAUAAUAUCAACGGUAACUCGAGAGGUAGACGACUAAAAGAAUAAUGAAAGGUUUAACCUAUAUUGUACGUCGAUUCUUUUAGUAAUGCGUUAAUGGCAUAAAACAUGUAAUGUUAUACGAAGCAUGGAAACGUUAAGCAACUAACAGAGCUAUAGCGUUAAAUACUAACUAAUCAAUAAUAAAUUCAGUGUACAUAAUGUAAAGAAAGAUAAAUAGCAUAAAUUUAAUGACUCAUCUAAAAA
Molecule: long non-coding RNA, 2109 nt
Organism: Bombus pyrosoma
Lineage: Eukaryota; Metazoa; Arthropoda; Insecta; Hymenoptera; Apidae
Exons: 2
Source: RefSeq, a predicted model, not a curated record